Long non-coding RNA from Oncorhynchus keta (chum salmon), 749 nucleotides. RefSeq lists it as uncharacterized. The transcript is spliced from 2 exons. The record is from RefSeq and is a predicted model, not a curated record. Lineage: Eukaryota; Metazoa; Chordata; Actinopteri; Salmoniformes; Salmonidae.
CCUCUCAUUCAUAAUGGUUUAAAAGGUCUGCCCCUCCCCCUCUCAUUCAUAAUGGUUUAAAAGGUCUGCCCCUCCCCCCUCUCAUUCAUAAUGGUUUAAAAGGUCUGCCCCUCCCCCCUCUCAUUCAUAAUGGUUUAAAAGGUCUGCCCCUCCCCCCUCUCAUUCAUAAUGGUUUAAAAGGUCUGCCCCUCCCCCCUCUAAUUCAUGAUUUAAAAAGCUAAACUGAUCUCAGAUCAGCACUCCUAUUCUGACACUCUGGAUGAGGGCCCUGUGCUCUUUCAGCUCCUGUGUGUCCAGUUUGUCAUUAGGACAAUAUUUAAUGGUGAUAUACUACCAUGGUAGUAUAAUGACGACUUCACUAUGCAAAGCAAUGAGUUAGCUGUUAUUACUUUUGUUACUGCUGGUCACUCAUCCUCAACCAACACUCAUAAAAUGUAUUGCUCUGUCCAUCACAGAAGAAUAAGCUUCUCAACAUAUCAAUGUAUGGCUGCUAAACGCAACUGCUCACAUAAUUGAUUGUGAAACUGGAAACAACCUGUAGAACUGACUUUGGCUGCCAUAAUGUGAAAACAUCCUGUACUAGUCUGUGCUGUUUGAAAUAGAACCGCUUUAAAACAACUGUGCAGAGUAAAUGGCUAUAAUACGUUAGGUCUACCUGAACACAUUUGAAACGUUCUGCAAAAAUCUAAUGAAAUAAAUGAAUUGAAAUCUGUUGUUGCUUUUCACUGUUUUUUGUUUUUUUCAUGAUA